This 499-nucleotide ribosomal RNA is filed under the name uncultured bacterium. RNAcentral describes it as "bacterial SSU rRNA". It matches the Rfam family "Bacterial small subunit ribosomal RNA", at positions 8 to 507 of the family's 1533-position model. The record is from RNAcentral.
AGAGUUUGAUCAUGGCUCAGGAUUAACGCUGGCGGUAUGCCUAACACAUGCAAGUCGAACGGAAUACUAAUUAAGAGAAUCUCACACUAGUGAGAGGUUCUCACGAGUAGUAUUAGUGGCGGACGGGUGAGUAACACGUUGGAACCUGCCCCGAAGUGGGGAAUAACUGCUCGAAAGAGUAGCUAAUACCCCAUAGUAUCCGGUUUAUCCGGAUUAAAGAUUUAUCGCUUCGGGAGGGGCCUGCGUCUGAUUAGCUAGUUGGUGAGGUAAAAGCUCACCAAGGCGACGAUCAGUAGCUGGUUCGAGAGGAUGACCAGCCACACUGGGACUGAGAUACGGCCCAGACUCCUACGGGAGGCAGCAGUGAGGAAUCUUCCACAAUGGGCGCAAGCCUGAUGGAGCAAUACCGCGUGCAGGAAGACGCUUUUCGGAGUGUAAACUGCUUUUGUCGUCGAAGAUUAUGACUGUAGACGAAGAAUAAGGACCGGCUAACUACGUG